This 463-nucleotide ribosomal RNA is filed under the name uncultured bacterium. RNAcentral's name for it is "partial 16S ribosomal RNA". It matches the Rfam family "Bacterial small subunit ribosomal RNA", at positions 28 to 507 of the family's 1533-position model. The record is from RNAcentral.
GAUGAACGCUGACAGAAUGCUUAACACAUGCAAGUCUUUGGCGAAGCUGUGCUUGCACAGCCUAGCCAAGGCGGACGGGUGAGUAACGCGUAAGGAACUUGCCCUGCAGUCAGGGAUAACAGACGGAAACGACUGAUAAGACCUGGUAAAGUCAGGCGGACUCAUGUCCAGCCUGAUGAAAAGUGAUGCUGCAGGAGAGCCUUGCGUCCUAUUAGCUUGUUGGUGGGGUAACGGCCCACCAAGGCGAUGAUAGGUAGCCGGCCUGAGAGGGUGGACGGCCACAAGGGGACUGAGAUACGGCCCUUACUCCUACGGGAGGCAGCAGUGGGGAAUAGUGGACAAUGGGGGCAACCCUGAUACAGCAAUUCUGUGUGCACGAUGAAGGUUUUCGGAUUGUAAAGUGCUUUCAGCAGGGAAGAAAAAAAUGACGGUACCUGCAGAAGAAGCGACGGCUAAAUACGUG